Long non-coding RNA from Peromyscus californicus insignis, 2842 nucleotides. RefSeq lists it as uncharacterized. Lineage: Eukaryota; Metazoa; Chordata; Mammalia; Rodentia; Cricetidae. The transcript has 2 exons. The record is from RefSeq and is a predicted model, not a curated record.
CGGUCCCGACUGGACAGACCAGGCGUUGGCUCUUCGUUGAACUGUCGUCGGUGCCCGGCUGCCUGGAAUGCGGACCUCUGCCGCACUGCAAGACCCUAAGAGAACAAAGACUCAUUUUCCCUGAGCAUCAUUCUCUAUGUGUUCUUACAAUAAGAAGAAAACAUCAUAUGCAGCAGGAACGAUGCUAACUGCUUCACUUAUGAACACUACUUUUUCUGGUCAUUUUUUAUCGCCUGUCACAUACACACAGCAAGGAAAAAGGAAAGCAGGCAAUAGACCCAUCCUAGGGGAUUCUGCUUGGGUGUGUGAGAAGCCAGUGCAUUCUGGGUCCAAUUCCCUGCCUACGCAGUGUGACCUUAGAAGAGGCUCAUUUCCACAUAGAUGAUCUUAUCCCUCGAACCUAAAGGAGCAGCCCUUAGAGACAGUGCUGCCUUUUUACUCCUGACAACUACCGACAGUUGGCCAUUGUCACCACGAUGUCAUGGGUCUGUACCUGUUGUUUACAUGGGGGAGCAGGGCUGUCCCUACAUCAGGCAGCUGUGUUGGUGGGAUGCUCCUUUGUAAACACAGCCAUGGAGGGAGCAGCUCUUCUUUCAGAAAGCAAGUCUGAAUGCUUUGCAGCCCUGAGCGGCUGCCUUGGUUCAGGAGCAGCCCAGAUGAGUCUGGAGUUAAGAAGUGAGAGUGGAGGUGAGCUGCUGGAAGACACGUUCUGCAGUCAUUACGUCCUCACAGCAGCCAUCAAGGUGCCCUCUGCUUUAAGAUGGGCACACCAAGGCCCAGGGGAGUCGAGUCAUUUGGCUGAGGCCACACAGUUAGGAUUCUAAUAGCACAGGAUCUAACCCCAGAACCCUUCUUAACAAUUAUGCUAAUGAUUAACACUUAAGGGCAAAUCAGAUUUUGGUGACAUUUGGAGUGACAGGGCCUCUCCUUGGGGAGUGUCCUUGGCCAAAACUACUUCCCUAGCUUCUGCCUGGCACAGUGAAUUCUAAUCAGAAGCCCCACCUAAAUGGUUAAAAUGGUAACUGCUAAACAAUCAAUCUUCCUGUAGCUUUGCAGAUACCAGAAGAUCCGAUGACCUUUGUAACAUUGCUUCCUUGUCUUCCCCUACAAACUAAUUCAUACUCACCACUGUGCUGUUUAGCUCCUGAUAAGCAGCCCGUCUGUUUUAGGAACAUACAGGAACUAGUCCCAGGAGAUAAAGUGAAUUGCGGUGUUCUGGACAGAGGAGAAGAAACAAAACAAACACACCAAAAAAAAAAAAAAAAAAAAAGAGAGACAACCUCUUGGGAUCACUGCUUCUCGAUCCUUCCACUUUUACGUGAGUUCGGAGGUUGAACUCAGGUCAUCAGGCUCACAUGGCAAGUGCUUUUACAUACUAAGGCAUCUUGCCAGUCUGGUAUGACAUCUACCAUGUAGCCCAGGCUAGCCUCUGAAGAUUGGCUUUUGAGCAGCAAGCAUCCUCAACCAGGUACAGUUAGGAGCACCACUUUAGAAUCAGAGCCUGGGAAGCUUUACAAAUCAUUUCAAGGGCAGACUCACUUCAUCUUUCCAGGCUCCCUGUGAAAGUCAGGAUUGUCGUCCUUGUUUGCCUCAUGAGGGAACAAAGCCUCAGGAGUGUAUUUGGAUGCCCAAAGCCAUACAAAUGAUGGCAAGAGAGUAAGGCACAGCUGGAACUGGAAGCCACUUGACCACGGCUGUGUCUUUAAGAGAAACUCCAGGCAGAUGUUGUUCAGACAGUCAGACAUACCUAAACAAGAGCAGCUGUGAUAACAGUGUCUCUGUGGCAUUUAGGAGAGGACAUUUGUCCCUGGCUGCCCUUAGAAUGGUAUUAAUCUGAGCUGUGACUUCCAGAACUGCUCAGCCUCUUUCAUGCUUUGAUUCCUGCCCUAAAGCUACCAAAGGUUUAAGAGACAUCUGGAGUCAAGGAGUAGGAAGCUAAGCUAGAUGCAAGUUGGGCCAUUGAAUUUGCCCUUCUGGAUAGCUCCCUUGGUUCUUGGCCUUAUUUCUGGAGGAAUGCCCAUGGCCAGGGCCAGGAGGGCGGGAUGGACACUUGGAGUAGACAGGGGUCCUGCCCAAAAUAGCUUUGAGUCAUGUGAUGAUGACAGAUGGGCUCCAUGCCAGGCCUUAUCUCAUAAACUAUCCCAAACAGGAAGGACCAGCAGGUCCGAUCUGAGGACCAGGAGCAGGAAAGGGAUGAGGGAUGGCAUUUCCAGUCUAAAGGAGUGUUCAGAAAGAACGUGGGAGCAGGAGCUGGGAGACUGGUAGAAGACAGACCCAACUGAGGAAUGUGGGAAGUGUUGAACAGACCUAUGGGGGGUGGACUGGAAUGGAGGGAGCCUUGGACUGUCUGAGCCUGGGCUGGAGAUCUGGAGAGAGAACUCCCAGUUCCAUGCCGCAGGGCUGAAACUCUUUGUUCCAAAGGACUUUAUCUUGACAGCAUCAUCUCAAGCCUCCAGUUGACUUUACACUGUCUGCUCUUACCUCACGGGGAAUGGACCCGCCUAGAAACAUAGGAUGCAUGUGAAAUGACGGGCCUCAGCUCAGCUUUUGAUACAUCUUUGGACAGUCUUUAGGCCUCUCCCAGUUCUCUUCCCUAAUGGCUCACACCUGGACAAGCCUGCCAGAACAGACAGGGCCUCCCUUCAUUGUCUGAGGGAAGGAGUGUCCCAGAGGCCCUCCCUCACCCCCAACCACAGUGAAAAUCCUCCUUCCUGGCUCUCAAGCCAUUUGAGACCUGUUGUCCUGAGAGACUCCCUUUCUGCAAACAAUAAAACCUUUCAUGCUCUCUUGGUUCAUGAGUAGUGUUAUCCAUCUUGACAUUUGAAUAAAACCUUUGAUGAGG